GACGAACGCUGGCGGCGCGCUUAACACAUGCAAGUCGAACGGAAAGGCCUGCUUUCCCUUGUGGAUUGCGGGUACUCGAGUGGCGAACGGGUGAGUAACACGUGAGUGAUCUGCCCCCAACUUGGGUAUAAGCCUGGGAAACUGGGUCUAAUUCCCGAUAGGACUGCAGGGUGGUGCCUGUGGUGGAAAACGAUUUUCUAGUGGUUGGGGAUGAGCUCGCGGCCUAUCAGCUUGUUGGUGGGGUAAUGGCCUACCAAGGCGGCGACGGGUAGCCGGCCUGAGAGGGUGGACGGCCACAUUGGGACUGAGAGACGGCCCAGAAUCCUACGGGAGGCAGCAGUGGGGAAUAUUGCACAAUGGGCGGAAGCCUGAUGCAGCGACGCCGCGUGGGGGAUGACGGCCUUCGGGUUGUAAACUCCUUUCGACCGCGAGGAAGCCACCUGGUUGGAAGGGUGGUGACGGUAGUGGUAGAAGAAGCACCGGCUAACUACGUG
RNAcentral lists this ribosomal RNA (494 nucleotides) under uncultured bacterium. RNAcentral's name for it is "partial 16S ribosomal RNA". It matches the Rfam family "Bacterial small subunit ribosomal RNA", at positions 28 to 507 of the family's 1533-position model. The record is from RNAcentral.